GGGGAUUGAAGAGGGCACCUAUGGAGACAAGCACCAGCUGAUGUGUGGAAGUGUUGGAUCACUAGGUUGUACGCCUGAACUAAUAAUUACGCUGUGUGUUCACUAACUGGAAUUUAAAUAAAAAUUUCAAAAAUUUUUUUCUUAAAAGAAGUUUUAAUACAUUCUUUUGUUUUGUUGUCAUUACUUUUACAGCUGGAUUAGAUUUAACUAACAUUGUCACAGCUGAAGCAAAAAAGAUCUCUUCCACGGCGGUGCUUUUUCACCGUGGUUCAACGCCCCUGUCUGUAGGAGGGAGGAAGAAAGGUAGAAUUUGUUUACAGAGAAGAAACUUUGGCUCUCAAUGACAUCAACAGAUCUCGACAUGACGACUAGAGGUACUUAAGAAGAGAUGCAUCUGUUUGCUUGCUGUGCCCAGUUGGAACACAAGCAGAGAGUGGCACGCGUCUAGUGCAUGGCCACAAUCACAAUGCCUGGAGUCCUUACUCCUUGUCCAAUUACUUUCUUAACCUCCUGAAAAUAAAAUCGGGAAGGAAGCAAGUCACUUCUAAAAACACACGAGAGGAUUUAUGGUCAAUAUGUGGGAGAUAAAAAUCAAAGGAGUCACUGCUGUACCUCUGCUUCUUCAUCAGUUUAAAAAGAGUGCAUGCAAACAACAGAUCCGCCUGUGCAGAGGAGUUAGCCCGUCAAAAGGAGAUCAAAAGCACUUCUCUUUUUCAGAUUCGCUUGACUGCUUGGUUACUCCAAAGAGGAGAUGCCCCAUUCUGGAUCUGAGCCUCUUGCCUCCCUGUGUCUCAACCCUCAUCAGGAAAUAUCCAUGCUUUGUCCUAGGCUGGAGACCAAAGUUCAGGGGACAGCCUGAGACACUUGCCUUCAGUAACCUCUCCAGCUGCAAAGUUAAUGACGUCUAG
This 908-nucleotide long non-coding RNA is filed under the name Vulpes vulpes (red fox). RNAcentral describes it as "lncRNA (ENSVVUG00000019428.1)". The record is from RNAcentral. Lineage: Eukaryota; Metazoa; Chordata; Mammalia; Carnivora; Canidae.